AUUGAACGCUGGCGGCAUGCCUUACACAUGCAAGUCGAACGGCAGCGGGGGAGAAGCUUGCUUUUCCUGCCGGCGAGUGGCGAACGGGUGAGUAAUACAUCGGAACGUGCCCUGUAGUGGGGGAUAACUAGUUGAAAGAUCAGCUAAUACCGCAUACGCCCUGAGGUUGAAAGUGGGGGACCGCAAGGCCUCAUGCUAUAGGUGCGGCCGAUGUCUGAUUAGCUAGUUGGUGGGGUAAAGGCCUACCAAGGCGACGAUCAGUAGCUGGUCUGAGAGGACGAUCAGCCACACUGGGACUGAGACACGGCCCAGACUCCUACGGGAGGCAGCAGUGGGGAAUUUUGGACAAUGGGCGAAAGCCUGAUCCAGCAAUGCCGCGUGUGUGAAGAAGGCCUUCGGGUUGUAAAGCACUUUUGUCCGGAAAGAAAUGGCUCUGGUUAAUACCUGGGGUCGAUGACGGUACCGGAAGAAUAAGGACCGGCUAACUACGUGCCAGCAGCCGCCGUAA
Molecule: ribosomal RNA, 508 nt
Filed under: uncultured bacterium
Lineage: Bacteria
Description: partial 16S ribosomal RNA
Rfam family: Bacterial small subunit ribosomal RNA
Source: RNAcentral